GUGCUCACUUUGGCACCACAUAUAAUAAAAUUGGAAUGAUACCCAGAAGAUUAGCAUGGCCCCUGUGCAAGG
Molecule: small nuclear RNA, 72 nt
Organism: Propithecus coquereli (Coquerel's sifaka)
Lineage: Eukaryota; Metazoa; Chordata; Mammalia; Primates; Indriidae
Source: Ensembl